GAUGAUCCGGUGCUUGCGCCGGGGAUUAGUGGCGAACGGGUGAGUAACACGUGAGUAACCUGCCCUUGACUCUGGGAUAAGCCUGGGAAACUGGGUCUAAUACCGGAUAUGACUCCUCAUCGCAUGGUGGGGGGUGGAAAGCUUUUGUGGUUUUGGAUGGACUCGCGGCCUAUCAGCUUGUUGGUGAGGUAAUGGCUCACCAAGGCGACGACGGGUAGCCGGCCUGAGAGGGUGACCGGCCACACUGGGACUGAGACACGGCCCAGACUCCUACGGGAGGCAGCAGUGGGGAAUAUUGCACAAUGGGCGCAAGCCUGAUGCAGCGACGCCGCGUGAGGGAUGACGGCCUUCGGGUUGUAAACCUCUUUCAGUAGGGAAGAAGCGAAAGUGACGGUACCUGCAGAAGAAGCGCCGGCUAACUACGUGCCAGCAGCCGCGGUAAUACGUAGGGCGCAAGCGUUAUCCGGAAUUAUUGGGCGUAAAGAGCUCGUAGGCGGUUUGUCGCGUCUGCCGUGAAAGUCCGGGGCUCAACUCCGGAUCUGCGGUGGGUACGGGCAGGCUAGAGUGAUGUAGGGGAGACUGGAAUUCCUGGUGUAGCGGUGAAAUGCGCAGAUAUCAGGAGGAACACCGAUGGCGAAGGCAGGUCUCUGGGCAUUAACUGACGCUGAGGAGCGAAAGCAUGGGGAGCGAACAGGAUUAGAUACCCUGGUAGUCCAUGCCGUAAACGUUGGGCACUA
This 737-nucleotide ribosomal RNA is filed under the name Arthrobacter sp. Its description in RNAcentral is "bacterial SSU rRNA". It matches the Rfam family "Bacterial small subunit ribosomal RNA", at positions 68 to 818 of the family's 1533-position model. The record is from RNAcentral. Lineage: Bacteria; Bacillati; Actinomycetota; Actinomycetes; Micrococcales; Micrococcaceae.